This 488-nucleotide ribosomal RNA is filed under the name uncultured bacterium. RNAcentral describes it as "bacterial SSU rRNA". It matches the Rfam family "Bacterial small subunit ribosomal RNA", at positions 1 to 507 of the family's 1533-position model. The record is from RNAcentral.
CGACGUAGUUGAUCAGUGGCUCGAGGACGACGCUGGCGGCGUGCCUAACACAUGCAAGUCGAACGGAAGCAAGACUUCGGUUUUGCUUUAGUGGCGAACGGGUGAGUAACGCGUGAGAAACCUGCCUUUCAGUGGGGGACAACAGUUGGAAACGACUGCUAAUACCGCAUAAUGUUAUCGAGCGGCAUCGCUUGAUAACCAAAGCUUUAUGUGCUGAAAGAUGGUCUCGCGUCUGAUUAGCUAGUUGGUGAGGUAACGGCUCACCAAGGCGACGAUCAGUAGCCGGUCUGAGAGGAUGAACGGCCACAUUGGGACUGAGAAACGGUCCAGACUCCUACGGGAGGCAGCAGUGGGGAAUAUUGGGCAAUGGGCGAAAGCCUGACCCAGCGACGCCGCGUGAGGGAAGAAGGUCUUCGGAUUGUAAACCUCUGUUGACAGGGACGAAGAAAAUGACGGUACCUGUCGAGGAAGCCACGGCUAACUACGUG